This is a long non-coding RNA of Apodemus sylvaticus (European woodmouse), 396 nucleotides long. RefSeq lists it as uncharacterized. The transcript has 3 exons. The record is from RefSeq and is a predicted model, not a curated record. Lineage: Eukaryota; Metazoa; Chordata; Mammalia; Rodentia; Muridae.
GAGAGAGAAGAGAAGAGGAGAAGAGGAGAAGAGGAGAAGAGAGAAGAGAGGUCUUCCAAACCUUCUACCUCAGUCUCCCAAGUACUGGGACCACUGGCAUAUCAGAGAAGACCUGCCUCGUCCCUGCCACACACUAACUAGCUGGUCCAGAAAUCUUGAGCUCAACAAAUCUUCUUGCCUAAAUCUCUUGAAUAGCUGCAACCAUAGGCCAGUUAAAAGAGUGCUUCUUUGUUGCCCUGGCUGUCUGCUGUCCUGGAGCUAGCUUGAUUGACGAGGUGCCUUGAACUCAAGAGACUCAAGAGAUCCUCUGUCUCCAGAGUGCUAAAGGCGUGAGCCACCACCACCUCCUACUGCUUAUUUUAAAAGUCGUUUCCUGAAAUUAUGCGUGUAUUGUUC